CACGUAGGGGGCAAGCGUUGUCCGGAAUCAUUGGGCGUAAAGCGCGUGUAGGCGGUCCGGUAAGUCCGCUGUGAAAGUCGGGGGCUCAACCCUCGGAUGCCGGUGGAUACUGUCGGGCUUGAGUACGGAAGAGGCAAGUGGAAUUCCCGGUGUAGCGGUGAAAUGCGCAGAUAUCGGGAGGAACACCAAUGGCGAAGGCAGCUCGCUGGGCCGGUCCUGACACUGAGACGCGAAGGCGUGGGGAGCGAACGGG
Molecule: ribosomal RNA, 253 nt
Filed under: uncultured bacterium
Lineage: Bacteria
Description: partial 16S ribosomal RNA
Rfam family: Bacterial small subunit ribosomal RNA
Source: RNAcentral